GACGCUACGGACUAAAAUCCGUUGGCUUUAUAGACCAUGAGGGUUCAAGUCCCUCUACCCCCA
This 63-nucleotide transfer RNA is filed under the name Frullania moniliata. Its description in RNAcentral is "partial tRNA-Leu". The record is from RNAcentral. RNAcentral also lists the same sequence under 1 other name. Lineage: Eukaryota; Viridiplantae; Streptophyta; Jungermanniopsida; Porellales; Frullaniaceae.